RNAcentral lists this ribosomal RNA (409 nucleotides) under uncultured Methanolinea sp. RNAcentral's name for it is "bacterial SSU rRNA". It matches the Rfam family "Archaeal small subunit ribosomal RNA", at positions 929 to 1338 of the family's 1478-position model. Lineage: Archaea; Methanobacteriati; Methanobacteriota; Methanomicrobia; Methanomicrobiales; Methanoregulaceae. The record is from RNAcentral.
ACCGGACCGACAGCAAUAUGAAGGCCAGGCUGAAGACUUUGCCGGAUUAGCUGAGAGGUGGUGCAUGGCCGUCGUCAGUUCGUACUGUGAAGCAUCCUGUUAAGUCAGGCAACGAGCGAGACCCACGCCCACAGUUGCCAGCGUACUCUCUGGAGUGACGGGUACACUGUGGGGACCGCCGCUGCUAAAGCGGAGGAAGGAAUGGGCAACGGUAGGUCAGUAUGCCCCGAAUAUCCCGGGCUACACGCGAGCUACAAUGGUUGGUACAAUGGGUAUCUACCCCGAAAGGGGACGGGAAUCUCCUAAACCUGUCCUUAGUUCGGAUUGUGGGCUGCAACUCGCCCACAUGAAGCUGGAAUCUGUAGUAAUCGCGUCUCAAAAUGGCGCGGUGAAUAUGUCCCUGCUCCUU